RNAcentral lists this ribosomal RNA (458 nucleotides) under Orectogyrus cyanicollis. RNAcentral describes it as "partial 16S ribosomal RNA". The stretch from base 1 to 141 matches the Rfam family "Archaeal large subunit ribosomal RNA", at positions 1898 to 2085 of the family's 2987-position model. The record is from RNAcentral. Lineage: Eukaryota; Metazoa; Arthropoda; Insecta; Coleoptera; Gyrinidae.
AACAAAAACAUCUCUUUAUGUUUAUAUAUAAAGUAUAACCUGCCCAAUGAUUAUAAUUUAAUGGCCGCAGUAUUUUGACUGUGCAAAGGUAGCAUAAUAAUUAGUUUUUUAAUUAAAAGCUUGUAUGAAUGGUUUAAUGAGAUAAAAACUUUAUUAUUUUAAUUAAGAUUAGAAUUUAAUUUUUUAGUUAAAAAGCUUAAAUUAUUUUAAAAGACGAGAAGACCCUAUAGAUCUUUAUUUAAAUUUAAUAAAGAUAAUUUUAGAAAAUAUUAAUAUUUUAUUAAAUUAAAUUUUAUUGGGGUAAUAUAAAAAUUUAAAAAAUUUUUUAUGUUUGAAAACAUAAAUUUAUGGAAAAUUGAUCCUUUAAUAAAGAUUAUAAGAUUAAGUUACCUUAGGGAUAACAGCGUAAUUUUUUUGGAGAGUUCUUAUCAAUAAAAAAGAUUGCGACCUCGAUGUUG